GACAGAGGGGGCAAGCGUUGCUCGGAAUCACUGGGCGUAAAGCGCGUGUAGGCGGUUGUCCAAGUUGGAUGUGAAAGCCUUGAGCUCAACUCAAGAAAUGCAUUCAGGACUGGGCGACUAGAGGACCGGAGAGGAUAGUGGAAUUCCCAGUGUAGUGGUGAAAUACGUAGAGAUUGGGAAGAACACCAGUGGCGAAGGCGGCUAUCUGGACGGUUUCUGACGCUAAGACGCGAAAGCGUGGGGAGCAAACAGG
Molecule: ribosomal RNA, 253 nt
Filed under: uncultured bacterium
Lineage: Bacteria
Description: partial 16S ribosomal RNA
Rfam family: Bacterial small subunit ribosomal RNA
Source: RNAcentral